Molecule: unclassified non-coding RNA, 374 nt
Filed under: soil metagenome
Description: partial contains internal transcribed spacer 2 and large subunit ribosomal RNA
Rfam family: 5.8S ribosomal RNA (bases 1-120)
Source: RNAcentral
GAUGAAGAACGUAGCGAAAUGCGAUAAUUAAUGUGAAUUGCAGAAUUCCGUGAAUCAUCGAGUCUUUGAACGCACAUUGCGCCUCAUGGCAUUCCGUGAGGCAUGCCCAUCUCAGCGUUAGAAAAUAUUCUCAAAUUUUAGUUUUGUGCUAAAAUUUGGAUCAUGUCAAGGAAGCUAUUACUAUUAUUGUGAUCCCUCUUUGGAAAUUGAUAGGUCUUUGAGUUGCUACUCAUAGAACGUGAUGAAUCUUUCUUCGUUCUAUUGUAAUUCACUCUGGUAGUCCUAAAACUUGUAUGCCUGUGGCAUAUCUUGUAAUUUGACCUGAGAUUGGGUAGGGAUACCCGCUGAACUUAAGCAUAUCAAUAAGCGGAGGA